Molecule: non-coding RNA, 29 nt
Filed under: Rattus norvegicus (Norway rat)
Lineage: Eukaryota; Metazoa; Chordata; Mammalia; Rodentia; Muridae
Source: RNAcentral
UAGAUAACCCACUGUAUUCUGAACACUGC